AGGGUCCUUGAUAAGAAUAAUUUGGUUGUAAUGCGUAUUCCAUUCAAUUCAAUGAAUCUAAGGAAAUCUGAGAAUUAAUUGGUGCAAUCUAGUUAAUUUGGGGCAUUGUCAUUCAUGGUUUGUUUGAAAGAGUAAUUGGAGAUUGAGUUGUAUGCAUAUGUUCAUGUGUGGAUAAGGAAUCCUCUAACUAGCUUCUCACCAUUCUAUUUAAUCACAAUCUGUUUUGCUUUACAUUUGUUUUUAAAGUUUGAGUUU
Molecule: long non-coding RNA, 255 nt
Filed under: Malus domestica (apple)
Lineage: Eukaryota; Viridiplantae; Streptophyta; Magnoliopsida; Rosales; Rosaceae
Description: long non-coding RNA (MDOM_LNC006822)
Source: RNAcentral